Molecule: ribosomal RNA, 446 nt
Filed under: uncultured bacterium
Lineage: Bacteria
Description: partial 16S ribosomal RNA
Rfam family: Bacterial small subunit ribosomal RNA
Source: RNAcentral
CCUACGGGUGGCAGCAGUCGAGAAUCAUUCACAAUGGGGGAAACCCUGAUGGUGCGACGCCGCGUGGGGGAAUGAAGGUCUUCGGAUUGUAAACCCCUGUCAUGUGGGAGCAAAUUAAAAAGAUAGUACCCCAAGAGGAAGAGACGGCUAACUCUGUGCCAGCAGCCGCGGUAAUACAGGGGUCUCAAGCGUUGUUCGGAAUCACUGGGCGUAAAGCGUGCGUAGGCUGUUUCGUAAGUCGUGUGUGAAAGGCGCGGGCUCAACCCGCGGACGGCACAUGAUACUGCGAGACUAGAGUAAUGGAGGGGGAACCGGAAUUCUCGGUGUAGCAGUGAAAUGCGUAGAUAUCGAGAGGAACACUCGUGGCGAAGGCGGGUUCCUGGACAUUAACUGACGCUGAGGCACGAAGGCCAGGGGAGCGAAAGGGAUUAGAUACCCCUGUAGUC